GUGGCGGGUAGCUCAGUUGGUAGAGUUCCAAACAUCCUUAAUUCAUAACUUGUCCGAAAGGGCCGACGAUUUGAGGGUUAUCGACUAUUAAUCGAGGGGUCGCGGGUUCGAGUCCCGCCCCGCUACACCA
This 130-nucleotide transfer RNA is filed under the name Microcoleus sp. FACHB-831. Its description in RNAcentral is "tRNA-Asn". It matches the Rfam family "tRNA". From Rfam's summary of the family: Transfer RNA (tRNA) molecules are approximately 80 nucleotides in length. Their secondary structure includes four short double-helical elements and three loops (D, anti-codon, and T loops). The record is from RNAcentral. Lineage: Bacteria; Bacillati; Cyanobacteriota; Cyanophyceae; Oscillatoriales; Microcoleaceae.